GACCUCCCAGGAUCGCAUCUGGAGAGCUCUCGGUGCUCUUCCAGCUUCGGAGGCGGGAGGGAGAUCACGGCAGAUGAAUACCCAUUCCCUCGCUAGUCUCCGGAGUGGCCAGCGAGCGGAAGAUAGUCUGCUACACGG
RNAcentral lists this small nucleolar RNA (138 nucleotides) under Charadrius vociferus (killdeer). Lineage: Eukaryota; Metazoa; Chordata; Aves; Charadriiformes; Charadriidae. The record is from RNAcentral.